Molecule: long non-coding RNA, 1068 nt
Organism: Rhinopithecus bieti (black snub-nosed monkey)
Lineage: Eukaryota; Metazoa; Chordata; Mammalia; Primates; Cercopithecidae
Source: Ensembl
UCCAGUCCAUGGGCCUCUAACUUCCAAUCCUGUGGGCAAAUAAAGCUGUCCAGCACAACCUGCGACUAUCAGAUUCAGGCCGUAUUUAUGGGGGUGGGGUCUGGCCUCAUAUCCUUCAUCUUUAUGCUGCUCUGCUCCAGCUCACAGCCCCUCCAGUCGGAUGGAACUCUUUGAAGGGAGGGGCAUUUCAGAGUAGGGUCCCAGGGAUAGCCCGUUUGUGGGGCUGGGCCACCAGGUUGGGGAGAGUGGAGCUGCUGGAACUCUGGAGGCACUGGCUGAGCCAGCUUUCCUAGCGCACCCCUCUGGGAGGGCAGACUCUGGGUGUAGGCUGCCCAUCUCCUUGCUCCCCUCUAGCCCUGCUUCUAUGCCCCCUUGGUUAGCCUGGGAGCCCAUCCUACCCAGUCUUGGGGUCAAUAAGCAGAGGACCUGGACCUGUAAGGAGUCCUUGAUGAGACGUACAGCCCUGCCCAACUCUGCACAAGAUGACCCAUGGGCUCCUGAGAGCAGGGAUUGUGACUUACUCAUCUUUGAUGUAGCCAAGUUCCAACAAACCUAAAUGUGCAGAGCAACCCGGUGGCGGAGGGAGACCUUCGGCGGCGCGGAGCUCUGUGUGCGGCCAGCAUUGGUUGGCUCCCAGCUCUGGGUGUCUCGGGUCACCUGAGUGCAACCCGUGAGAAGAGACAAGACCACCCAGAUGAUAUGGCCAAGCACACCCCCGCUGAGGCUGUGCGCGUCUGUGCCCCGGGCAAAGCUGGCUCGCUUCCUAGUGGUCCGCCCUGCCAGUUAUUUCAUGGCAGCCUCUUCAUUUGUAAAAGGGCCUUAAUAAUAGCUAAUCACGGGUCGUCCACGAGGCCACGCUGAGAUGAUGCAGGAGUGCAGCCAACACGGUGCCUGGCACGCGAUGCCGCUCUCGGUGGCUAAGUGGCCAUUGCUGAUGCUGCUGUCACUGUGGUCCCAUCCCCCUCACAGUACUACUGGCUCUCACAUGUAGGGGACGCAGAGCAGAGCAGCGUCCUGAGCACCACAGGAGUUCUAACCAUGACUUGCAUUUUUUAUAAUUCUGUUUUU